Molecule: ribosomal RNA, 257 nt
Filed under: uncultured bacterium
Lineage: Bacteria
Description: partial 16S ribosomal RNA
Rfam family: Bacterial small subunit ribosomal RNA
Source: RNAcentral
GACAGAGGGUGCAAACGUUGUUCGGAAUUACUGGGCGUAAAGCGCGUGUAGGCGGCCCUGCAAGUCGGAUGUGAAAUCCCACGGCUCAACCGUGGAAGUGCAUUCGAAACUGCAGGGCUAGAGUCCUGGAGAGGAAGGUGGAAUGCUUGGUGUAGAGGUGAAAUUCGUAGAUAUCAAGCGGAACACCGGUGGCGAAGGCGGCCUUCUGGACAGUGACUGACGCUGAGACGGACGAAAGCGGUGGGGAGCAAACAGGG